RNAcentral lists this long non-coding RNA (1729 nucleotides) under Bos taurus (domestic cattle). Its description in RNAcentral is "long non-coding RNA NONBTAT004120". Lineage: Eukaryota; Metazoa; Chordata; Mammalia; Artiodactyla; Bovidae. The record is from RNAcentral.
AAAAGUAAAAACAAAAAAACAUGAUUCUGUUUGAAUAGAAAUUUCAGUUUAAAUCUGUAACCUAACAUGUAUUUGCAAAUAGUGAGCAAUUUUCCAUCUAAAAAAAUUCCAUUCUAAUAGUGUCACCAAUUAUCUAAAAAUCUUUAAAAAAAAUUAACUUGCUUUGUAGGUUCAUAUUUUAAAUCUAUACUUGACAAAUGCUUCAUUGAAUCAGAGGAAUAAUCCUUUUUUUCACUGGACAUGAUUGUGAAAAUUUUUAUCCGUUGUCUUAAAAAGUUUAUGUGAUUCUUAAAAUAUUUUGGCUGUAUAGUUUUGGUGUUUAUCUUAGAUUUGUCAACAAGGUGUGAUUAUUCUUUACUGUUUUGUGAGUAAUAUUGGUUUUGAAAGUAUAUACCAGUUAAGAACAGUAUUUUAUUGAAAUCAGUAGUUAUUGUGUCUAUCAACUCUCAAAAUCAAGUGCCAGCAAAGAAUUUUCAAACUUUAAGUCGUGUAUAGAAUUGUUUUGUGUAGCACUGAAAAAUUCUGUCCAUUUUGUAAGUCGCUAAAUGUUAUUAUCAGCUCAAAGGUAUUUUUCUAUUAAAAGUUUACAGUUAAAUAACAUAAGUGGAUGAUAGCAUUUGGGGCCAGUAGUGAAAGUAUAUUUCGUCUAAAAUAUUUCUCUAUGCAGUGGUGUACAAGGCUAUUUUAUUAUGGUAUUUGUACCCGUCCUGUGUUUCUCUAUGAACCCUGCUUCAGUCUUUGUUUCUGUCAACAUAUGUAAGGGAAAGAAAGUCCAGAAACAGAGAAUAAAUGACACAAAACUUACAUUGUUAAAUACAAGAAAAUGUAAGUGUUUACCUCUUGAGGUUUUAUUGGAUAUAAUUGUCAUGAUACAUACACAUGAUAAGUGACCAAAUGCUUAUGAUGUAUAACUUUUUCUACACGCAGUCAGAAUUUCCUCUCUGAAUCUUCAUUCAGUGACAUGCUAAUUCCUCUUCUGUUUUUUCUCCAGUGACAGAGUGUUAACAUUUCUUAUACCCUGGCAGAGAGUACAGAGGAAUGCCAUUUUUCUGGUAGGGAAUGGAAUUUUUUAUUGAAAUACCAUAGGAUGAAAACAGAAAGAGGAGGACAUAAAAGGUAUUUUUACAAGUUGUUCUUAGACAUUUUAAUAGGCUGUUUGAAGAUUCUACAAGACAUUCCUGUUCAACAUUUUUAGUGAAGUAAGAUGCUCACUUGUCCAACCAGUAUGUGUUCCUUCAGAAGGGCAAACCUGCUUUGAGUUGCUUAAGGCUAAAUUUUGUUUCAUUUGACAUCAGGGUGUUUCUGGGCACUGUCCUUAACACAAAGCUGUUUCUCCAUAGGAUUAUUUUUUGGCCAGCUUUUUCUUUGCUAGUUACUUCCUGUUGAUAGCUUUUCCUUUUAUCAGGUCGAAAUAGAACAGUGAUGAUCUCAACCAGGUCUUAAUUCUGCAGAAUUAAGGUUUUGCAACUGAUAAAAAACAUGUUUUCUGCUUGUCAUUUUCAACCUUUGGUUUAAAGCCUAAGCUAAAUAGUGGUGAUAUCUUGGUUUACAAAGAGGUUUUCCUAGGAAGAACUUUGGUUUUGUGCUAUAUUUGUGAACUAGAGAAUAGUUGUUAAUCAUUAUUUUAUGGAUAAGUGAUUUGUAUGUGAUUAGUUAUAAUAAAACAUACUAGAAUCCAGGCUUUUCUGACUUUUCAAUUCAUUGUUUUCUGCUAAAUGUAUAAAACCCU